RNAcentral lists this ribosomal RNA (254 nucleotides) under uncultured bacterium. Its description in RNAcentral is "partial 16S ribosomal RNA". It matches the Rfam family "Bacterial small subunit ribosomal RNA", at positions 524 to 777 of the family's 1533-position model. The record is from RNAcentral.
UACGAAGGGGGCUAGCGUUGUUCGGAAUCACUGGGCGUAAAGCGCACGUAGGCGGAUUGUUAAGUCAGGGGUGAAAUGCCAAGGCUCAACCUUGGAACUGCCUUUGAUACUGGCAAUCUCGAGUCCGGGAGAGGUGAGUGGAACUGCGAGUGUAGAGGUGAAAUUCGUAGAUAUUCGCAAGAACACCAGUGGCGAAGGCGGCUCACUGGCCCGGUACUGACGCUGAGGUGCGAAAGCGUGGGGAGCAAACAGGG